ACACUGUCUACUCUGGUAAACCAGCCUCAUAUAAGCUCCUGGAGGCUGGCGUGUCCCCAGGGGUCAGGCCAUCCCAGAAACGAUGACUUGACCAUAGUCACGUCAUGAGGUGAGAGAUUCCGGGAAGGGGCAGCAAGAGGAGAAAGAAGCGAAGGGCGCCCCAAGGUAAUGUGUGCCCUACACAGGGCUCCUAGCCAUAAGCACUUAUGCAAGUGCGGGGCACAGAGAAAAUUCUGGUAACACUCCUCCCCUCAAUUCUGAUCAGGUCCCAGGCUCAACUAAUCAGUUCAGGGAUGGGCCCUUUGCCACCUUUUUCCUAACCAAAGCCACUCUCAAGGGGAAACUUCUAUUAACGGCCAGUAAGCAAGACACACAACGCUUUUUGUUUGAAGGACUACCCAGGCGUUAGUGCCCUUCCAGACCGGCUCUAGUGACUGGCGGGGAAGAAGGGGAAAAAGAAUUAGUGUAUCUGGACACAACACCCAGCAUGUGCUAGGCAGAAACUAAGUGUGCGAAGCGGAUCCCGAUGUACAAAGGGGAAAACAGCGGCUGGGAAAGCCUGAGCCACG
This 569-nucleotide long non-coding RNA is filed under the name Homo sapiens (human). RNAcentral describes it as "non-protein coding lnc-PCBP1-11:1". Lineage: Eukaryota; Metazoa; Chordata; Mammalia; Primates; Hominidae. The record is from RNAcentral.